This 3035-nucleotide long non-coding RNA is filed under the name Sus scrofa (pig). RNAcentral's name for it is "lncRNA (ENSSSCG00040006742.1)". The record is from RNAcentral. Lineage: Eukaryota; Metazoa; Chordata; Mammalia; Artiodactyla; Suidae.
GUGUGCAAGCGCCGCGGAGGGAGCGCGUCGGGGCAGCGGAGAGCGCCCACCUCCAGGGGUUCUGCCGGACCUUUCUUCUGCAGGGCUCGCAGGCUGCAGGCGCCCCGUCGACCGGCGGCCUCGGGCAGCCGGGCACGCUCCGGAGUCCGUCCUUUUGAAGUAGGACGUGGGCCUGGGCUGUCGAGCCGGCGGCGGAGUCAACGUUGGCCGCUCAAAACGCUGCAGCCUCAGGCGCAGCCGCCCAGAGUUUCUGAAGAACUUCUGGUUAUUUGCGACAAAAAGCAGACAAGGAGUCCUCGGAGUUCUGAUAGGAGACUCUUGUGAUAUUGGAAAAGCAACACUUGGAAUGCAGCCAUGAGCCAAGGAACACCAGCCAACUCUGGAAAAAAAGGCAAGGAUUAGGUUCUCCCCUAGAACUUCCAAAAGGAACUCAGACUUCUGAUCCCACAAGAUAAUACAUUUGAAGGGUUUUGUUUUUUGUUUUUUUUUUUUUCUUUUUGUCUUUUUUUGCUAUUUCUUGGGCCGCUCCCGCGGCAUAUGGAGGUUCCCAGGCUAGGGGUCCAAUCGGAGCUGCAGCCACCGGCCUACGCCAGAGCCACAGCAAUGCUGGAUCUGAGCUGCGUCUGCAACCUACACCACAGCUCACGGCAACGCCGAAUCGUUAACCCACUGAGCAAGGGCAGGGACUGAACCCGCAACCUCAUGGUUCCUAGUCGGAUUCGUUAACCACUGCGCCACGACGGGAACUCCCUUUUUUAUUUUUUUUUUAAUUAAAUUUGUGCUAGUUUGUUUACAGCCACAAUCAGGAACUAAUGCACUUUUAUGUUCACAUAAAACCUGUACACAUAUUUUUGUAGCAGCUUUAUUCAUAAUAGUCAGUGGGUGACUGGUUAAACAUUCUGUGCUGUAGCCACCCCUGGAAUACUAGUCAGUAAUAAAAGGGAAAGGACCAUGGACACACACCAAACAACUCAAAUCUUAUGCUGAGUGGAAGAAGCCAGUCCCGAAAGCUUACAUACAGUGCGAUCCUAUUUAUACAACAUUCCUGAAAUGACAAAAUUAAAGAAAGAACAGAUUAGUGGUUCCCUCAGGGUUAAGGAAGAGAUGGGGGCAGAAGAGAAGCGGGUAUGGUUAUAAAAAGGUGACCAGAAGGACCCUCCUGGUGAUGGAAAGCUCUCCUGUGACUGUAUGGACAUCCUUAGCCUGGUUGUGACCUGGCUCUAUAGUUCUGAAAGACAUUCCCAUCAGGGGAAACUGGGUAAACAGUGUAAUGUAUCUUCUAGAUGAUUUUUUUUUUUUUUUCUGGUCUCUUUUGUCUUUUUUCUAGGGCUGCAGCCACAGCAUAUGGAGGUUCCCAGGCUAGGGGUCUAGUCGGAGCUGUAGCCACUGGCCUAGGCCACAGCCACAGCAACACAGGUUCUGAACCUCAACUAUGUCCUACACCACAACUCACGGCAACAUUGGAUCCUUAAUCUACUGAGCAAGGCCAGGGAUUGAACUUGAGUCCUCAUGGAUGCUAGUCAGGUUUGCUAACCACUGAGCCAUAACGGGAACUCAUAGAUGAUUUCUUACAGUGUGUGUGUGUGUCCGGUUAUCUUGAGGUAAAGAGCAGAAUUUUAAAAUAGUAGCAGUCACACCUCUCUUAAAAAAUGCCACAAGAGUUAAAUGAGAUCAGUAGAGUGUGGGAAGUGGGCCUUGAAGACUGGAUUGCAGUUAGGGGACAGUGAAGAAAGUCUAGGUAGUGGGAGCUUAGCAGGUACUCCGGGAGGUGGUAUCAGGACGUGAUGGGGAAGGGGCAAGACUCCUGGAAGGGCUGACUUAGGAAGGAGGCUGAUUCCCCCUUAGGAAUCUUUGGACACUUUGGCAGAGACACCCCUUUACUCUUACGUUCUCCCUUCCCCACAAAGUGCAGGGGACAAGACCAGAUACUGUCCCAGGGGGUCACCCCAGACUUCAGCUCCGCCCCCUCACCCCACUGAGUGUGGCAGUAAGCAAUUGGCCUCUGCCAAUUCAGAUUGGGAGGGAGUGCCUCUCCCCGGUAGAUAGGGUGCCUGCUGUCUCAGACAGUCCUUAGAAAAGGAUCAGUACUGCAGGCUCACGAUCCAGAGGCCAGAGGAGCCAGGGCAGUGACCAGCUAGCUAGUCCCACCAAAGCAGGAGUGACUUUCCAUUGGCAGAAAGGCAAGGUGAUACAUGGGAAUGGCAGUGGCCUGCCCAGGUGAGUAGAGAAUUACAGAGUGAGAGCUGCAGACAGGUGGCUUCCUGACCUACCUGCAGCCCUGGUAGCUGGGGCGGUCACAGUUCCUAAUUCCACAUGGGGCACUGUUCUCCCAGGCAUUUACCUACACAGGAGUCUCUGUGUAGAAUGCCCUGUCUUUGUGUUGCCGUAACAAAAUACCACAGACUAGUAGUGUGGACACAAGAGCAAUUUAUUUCUCAACAGUUCUGGAGGCUGGAAGUCCAAGAUCAAAAUGCCUGCAUAGUUACAGUGAGGGCCCUCCUUGGCGCAGAGCUGGCAGCUUCGCCCGUCUCCACAUGGCAACCUCUACGUGAGGUCUCAUAUGAGAACACUAAGCCAUUCACAAGCACUCAGCCCUCAUGACCUAAUCACCUCGAAGCCCCAUACUUCCUAACACCACCACAUUGGAGGUUAGGAUUUCAACAUAGAAUCUGCAGGGACGCAAAUGUUCAGACCAUAGCAUACCCUCCACCUGUUAACAUUUUUCUAUUCAAGGCCCUUCUGUUACUUUUCUAGUAACAUCUCCAAUCUCACUUGUCAAGAUUAAUUGUUCCAGAGUUUCCACUGUGGAUCAGUGGAUUAAGAACCCAACUCAUACCUAUGAGGAUUCGAUCCCUGGCCUCACUCAGUGGGUUAAGGAUCCAGCAUUGCUUCGAGCUGCGAGCUGCGGUGUAGGUUGCAGAUGCGGCCCAGACCUGGCAUUGCUGUGGCUGUGGCUGGCAGCUUCAGCUCCGAUUGACUCCUAGCCUGGGAACUUCCAUAUGCCGCAGGAAUGGCUAUAAAAAGAAAAGAAAAAA